RNAcentral lists this ribosomal RNA (228 nucleotides) under uncultured bacterium. RNAcentral's name for it is "partial 16S ribosomal RNA". It matches the Rfam family "Bacterial small subunit ribosomal RNA", at positions 57 to 305 of the family's 1533-position model. The record is from RNAcentral.
GCAAGUCGAACGAGAAGCUUCUUCGGAAGUGGACAGUGGCAGACGGGAGAGUAACGCAAGGGGAUCUGCACAGAGGUUCGGAACAACCAUUGGAAACGAUGGCUAAUACCGGAUAAGCCCUUAGGGGGAAAGAUUUAUUGCCUUUGGAUGAACCCGCGUAAGAUUAGCUAGUUGGUGAGGUAAUGGCUCACCAAGGCGACGAUCUUUAGCUGGUCUGAGAGGAUGAUC